CGACAGUAUGUUCAAUGAAAUCAAAUUUUCUUUGACACUUUCAGGUAACUGUUCAGAUGAGGGUUUGGUGGUGCAAGUGUCUGAAGCUCCAGGUUCUCCUGUUGUUACUGCUAAUAUAGGUGGCAAGGAAGAGGAGAGUGGACUGUUUGUGCCGAUUAUAGAUCUCAGAUGGAGUCAAUUACCUGAUAGUCGCAUUUACUCUCUCAAAGGGACUGAAGUUCGUGUGUUGGAAAUGGCAACAAAUCGCAGUGUUUGUGUACGGUAUGUUUUUAGUAAGACAUUAUCAUCGCCAAAAAACCCGAGGGGUGAUAUGGUGAGUAGUCAUAUGCAAUUUGUACACAGAAAAUUAUCAUAUAAAAGAGCAUAAAAUGCCAGGGCCAGAUUUAAAAUGGCAUAAAAUACCAUAAUACUUAUGCAAAUAUUUUAUAAGCAUGCUAAGUGAACAAUUGUUUUUCUAAAAAACAAUGCUAAAGUCAGUUAUUCGUAUUUGCACUCUGUUUUCAGAAAGUCUGUCUUUGUUUUGGUCUGUAUAACUUCGCCCACUGCCACUUUACCCAAUUACAUUUCAGCAUCCUGGGUUGUCAUUUCAUUUCAGUCAUAAAGGCUGCCUCAAUUUAUGUGGCCUCUGCAGAAAAUUUGACCACUGGAGAACAGUAUUAACCUCCAAAAUGAGACACAGAUUCAGAGUUUCAAAAAUUCACAUGAUGUGGUUUCUAAUGAACAAAUAAUACAAAUAUUACAAACAUAAAGGUUAGUUGAGCAGCUUACAGCGUAAGGACUCAAUCUUCAAGCACAUUGGCUCCUGUUUGUGUCGUCAAUUUGGCAUUCUGUGUAUGAGUUGAGUUGUUGUAGGA
Non-coding RNA from Danio rerio (zebrafish), 854 nucleotides. NCBI's taxonomy places the organism in Eukaryota, Metazoa, Chordata, Actinopteri, Cypriniformes, Danionidae. The record is from RefSeq and is a predicted model, not a curated record.